GGUGAGUAACACGUGGAUAACCUACCUAUAAGACUGGGAUAACUUCGGGAAACCGGAGCUAAUACCGGAUAAUAUAUUGAACCGCAUGGUUCAAUAGCGAAAGACGGUUUUGCUGUCACUUAUAGAUGGAUCCGCGCCGCAUUAGCUAGUUGGUAAUGUAACGGCUUACCAAGGCGACGAUGCGUAGCCGACCUGAGAGGGUGAUCGGCCACACUGGAACUGAGACACGGUCCAG
This 235-nucleotide ribosomal RNA is filed under the name uncultured Staphylococcus sp. RNAcentral describes it as "partial 16S ribosomal RNA". It matches the Rfam family "Bacterial small subunit ribosomal RNA", at positions 105 to 334 of the family's 1533-position model. The record is from RNAcentral. Lineage: Bacteria; Bacillati; Bacillota; Bacilli; Caryophanales; Staphylococcaceae.